Molecule: non-coding RNA, 124 nt
Organism: Triticum aestivum (bread wheat)
Lineage: Eukaryota; Viridiplantae; Streptophyta; Magnoliopsida; Poales; Poaceae
Source: Rfam
AUGAUACUCCCUCCGUCCGAAAAUACUCGUCUUAGAAAUGGUUGUAUCUGGACUUAUUUUAGUUAUAGAUACACUCAUUUUAUCCAUUUUUAGGACAAGUAUUUCCGGACGGAGGGAGUAGAUU